Molecule: ribosomal RNA, 164 nt
Filed under: Neoguillauminia cleopatra
Lineage: Eukaryota; Viridiplantae; Streptophyta; Magnoliopsida; Malpighiales; Euphorbiaceae
Also listed under: 1 other name
Description: 5.8S ribosomal RNA
Rfam family: 5.8S ribosomal RNA
About the family: 5.8S ribosomal RNA (5.8S rRNA) is a component of the large subunit of the eukaryotic ribosome. It is transcribed by RNA polymerase I as part of the 45S precursor that also contains 18S and 28S rRNA. Functionally, it is thought that 5.8S rRNA may be involved in ribosome translocation.
Source: RNAcentral
AAAACGACUCUCGGCAACGGAUAUCUCGGCUCUCGCAUCGAUGAAGAACGCAGCGAAAUGCGAUACUUGGUGUGAAUUGCAGGAUCCCGCGAACCAUCGAGUCUUUGAACGCAAGUUGCGCCCGAAGCCUUCCGGCCGAGGGCACGUCUGCCUGGGUGUCACUC